AUUGAACGCUGGCGGCAUGCCUUACACAUGCAAGUCGAACGGUAACAGGUCUUCGGAUGCUGACGAGUGGCGAACGGGCGAGUAAUACAUCGGAACGUGCCCGAUCGUGGGGGAUAACGGAGCGAAAGCUUUGCUAAUACCGCAUACGAUCUACGGAUGAAAGCAGGGGACCGCAAGGCCUUGCGCGGACGGAGCGGCCGAUGGCCGAUUAGGUAGUUGGUGGGAUAAAAGCUUACCAAGCCGACGAUCUGUAGCUGGUCUGAGAGGACGAGCAGCCACACUGGGACUGAGACACGGCCCAGACUCCUACGGGAGGCAGCAGUGGGGAAUUUUGGACAAUGGGCGAAAGCCUGAUCCAGCCAUGCCGCGUGCAGGGUGAAGGCCUUCGGGUUGUAAACUGCUUUUGUACGGAACGAAAAGACUCUUUCUAAUAAAGAGGGUCCAUGACGGUACCGGAAGAAUAAGCACCGGCUAACUACGUG
Molecule: ribosomal RNA, 482 nt
Filed under: uncultured bacterium
Lineage: Bacteria
Description: partial 16S ribosomal RNA
Rfam family: Bacterial small subunit ribosomal RNA
Source: RNAcentral